RNAcentral lists this ribosomal RNA (470 nucleotides) under uncultured bacterium. RNAcentral's name for it is "bacterial SSU rRNA". It matches the Rfam family "Bacterial small subunit ribosomal RNA", at positions 155 to 626 of the family's 1533-position model. The record is from RNAcentral.
AACGACUGCUAAUACCGCAUAAUGUCUUCGGACCAAACGGGGCUUCGGCUCCGGCGCAAAGAGAGGCCCAAGUGAGAUUAGCUAGUUGGUGAGGUAAAGGCUCACCAAGGCGACGAUCUCUAGCUGUUCUGAGAGGAAGAUCAGCCACACUGGGACUGAGACACGGCCCAGACUCCUACGGGAGGCAGCAGUGGGGAAUAUUGCACAAUGGGGGAAACCCUGAUGCAGCCAUGCCGCGUGUGUGAAGAAGGCCUUCGGGUUGUAAAGCACUUUCAGUUGUGAGGAAAAGUUAGUAGUUAAUACCUGCUAGCCGUGACGUUAACAACAGAAGAAGCACCGGCUAACUCCGUGCCAGCAGCCGCGGUAAUACGGAGGGUGCGAGCGUUAAUCGGAAUUACUGGGCGUAAAGCGCACGCAGGCGGUUUGUUAAGCUAGAUGUGAAAGCCCCGGGCUCAACCUGGGAUGGUCAU